AAGUCGUAACAAGGUUUCCGUAGGUGAACCUGCGGAAGGAUCAUUAUCGAACCUUUUGGAAGUGGGACUGAUGCUGGUCCUCUCGGACACGUGCUCGUCUUGCUUUUCCUCCUUUCCACACCAUGUGAACUUCCAAGGUAGCGUGUCCCUCCCCUCAUGGGGGAGCCGCUGGAUGAUCCCCGCUUCGCUGCGGGUGAGCGUCGAGCUGGGGGUGCGCGACCUUGUUUCCAACAACACCAUAAAGAAGUUUGUAGAAAUCAUGAUAACUGCCCGAGUGGCAAAUUACAACUUUCAACAACGGAUCUCUUGGCUCUC
This 315-nucleotide unclassified non-coding RNA is filed under the name air metagenome. Its description in RNAcentral is "partial contains small subunit ribosomal RNA, internal transcribed spacer 1, and 5.8S ribosomal RNA". The stretch from base 1 to 46 matches the Rfam family "Eukaryotic small subunit ribosomal RNA", at positions 1786 to 1831 of the family's 1831-position model. The record is from RNAcentral.